RNAcentral lists this ribosomal RNA (521 nucleotides) under uncultured bacterium. Its description in RNAcentral is "bacterial SSU rRNA". It matches the Rfam family "Bacterial small subunit ribosomal RNA", at positions 25 to 518 of the family's 1533-position model. The record is from RNAcentral.
CAGGACGAACGCUGGCGGCGUGCCUAAUACAUGCAAGUCGAACGGUCUUUCUAUGGAAGCUUGCUUCCACUGAGAAGAUAGUGGCGAACGGGUGAGUAACUCGUGGGUAACCUGCCCAUAAGAGGGGGAUAACAUCCGGAAACGGGUGCUAAUACCGCAUAGUUUUCUUGAUCGCAUGAUCGGGAAAGGAAAGACGGCCUUUGUGCUGUCGCUUAUGGAUGGACCCGCGGCGUAUUAGUUAGUUGGUGAGGUAAUGGCUCACCAAGACGAUGAUACGUAGCCGACCUGAGAGGGUGAUCGGCCACAUUGGGACUGAGACACGGCCCAAACUCCUACGGGAGGCAGCAGUAGGGAAUCUUCCGCAAUGGACGAAAGUCUGACGGAGCAACGCCGCGUGAGUGAAGAAAAGGUUUUCGGAUCGUAAAACUCUGUUGUCAGAGAAGAACAAGUUGGAGAGUAACUGCUCCAGCCUUGACGGUAUCUGACCAGAAAGCCACGGCUAACUACGUGCCAGCAGCCGC